RNAcentral lists this ribosomal RNA (253 nucleotides) under uncultured bacterium. Its description in RNAcentral is "partial 16S ribosomal RNA". It matches the Rfam family "Bacterial small subunit ribosomal RNA", at positions 524 to 776 of the family's 1533-position model. The record is from RNAcentral.
UACGAAGGGGGCUAGCGUUGUUCGGAUUUACUGGGCGUAAAGCGCACGUAGGCGGUUUGUUAAGUCAGGGGUGAAAUCCCGGAGUUCAACUCCGGAACUGCCUUUGAUACUGGCAAGCUAGAGUCCGGAAGAGGUAAGUGGAACUCCUAGUGUAGAGGUGGAAUUCGUAGAUAUUAGGAAGAACACCAGUGGCGAAGGCGGCUUACUGGUCCGGAACUGACGCUGAGGUGCGAAAGCGUGGGGAGCAAACAGG